Long non-coding RNA from Saccostrea cuccullata (small rock oyster), 348 nucleotides. RefSeq lists it as uncharacterized. The transcript is spliced from 3 exons. The record is from RefSeq and is a predicted model, not a curated record. NCBI's taxonomy places the organism in Eukaryota, Metazoa, Mollusca, Bivalvia, Ostreida, Ostreidae.
UUACGGAAAAAUCCAUAGUCAAUUCAGUGUAUAGAUGUAGGUAGUACAUUUCAAAACAUUGAUAGUUAUCAACAUCGUUUUGAAUCAUAAAUUGUUGAAUACAAACACAUACAGGUAACUGUUUUCAUGUACCAUUUAUAAUGUAAGUCAAGGACGCGACUAUGAGAUGCAAACUGUACAGAAACUGGAAGAACAUAGCUAUCAAGGAUUUGAUACGAUUUGUACAGGAAGUACAGAAGUGAUUAAUAGUGCCGAAUAUUGUGAAAUCGUACAAGCAUCUUCGCAAGAAGAACGCGGAGUAACUAACAGAGCUGCAGAGAAGGAAGGUUAAAAAUAUACAUUAUAAAA